AUAAAAGGGGAAUUUACCUUCAUGUUGACGCUGGUUUAGUCCUCGGUCGCUUCGUCGGGAUCAGAGCUCGGGCGAGGACGGUGGGGCGAGGACUGACGGAGCCCCCUGAGCGGCGCGAAAGCUAGGGCCAGAAACCCUAGUAGAGAGCUUAGGCCUUUUUUCUUUUAUUUUUUUUGGUUAUGCAAAUGUUUUUUUAACGAAAACUUAGUUUAAAUAGCAACGCAAUACGACGCCGUUUAGAGGCUUGCGACCCGCGCGGUGACCCGACCCGGGGAGGAUCCGCGCAUUCUGACUUAUUGGUUUAUUUGCGCUGAG
Molecule: long non-coding RNA, 315 nt
Filed under: Gossypium raimondii (Peruvian cotton)
Lineage: Eukaryota; Viridiplantae; Streptophyta; Magnoliopsida; Malvales; Malvaceae
Description: long non-coding RNA (GRAI_LNC001235)
Source: RNAcentral